AGGUCUUGACAUCCCGAUGCCCGCUCUAGAGAUAGAGCUUUACUUCGGUACAUCGGUGACAGGUGGUGCAUGGUU
This 75-nucleotide ribosomal RNA is filed under the name uncultured Streptococcus sp. Its description in RNAcentral is "partial 16S ribosomal RNA". Lineage: Bacteria; Bacillati; Bacillota; Bacilli; Lactobacillales; Streptococcaceae. The record is from RNAcentral.